This is a transfer RNA of Oryza sativa Japonica Group (Japanese rice), 75 nucleotides long. It matches the Rfam family "tRNA". From Rfam's summary of the family: Transfer RNA (tRNA) molecules are approximately 80 nucleotides in length. Lineage: Eukaryota; Viridiplantae; Streptophyta; Magnoliopsida; Poales; Poaceae. The record is from Rfam.
GCUUUCGUAUCUCAGUUGGUUAGAGCACCCGUUUGGUAAGCGGGAGGUCUUGAAGUUCGACUCUCAACGAAAGCA